GACAUAAAGGAGCAGUCUGGGUUUCUGGAGUCAGAAACUGUGGGCAAGUUACUUACCUCUCAAGCUUCAGUUUUCUCUCACAUAAAAGCAAUGUGUCCUAGCCCUUGGGCUCAUUGUGGAGUGUAAAAUGAAAAACAGGGUACAUAAGGCUUCUGGAACACAGUAGCUGAUCUCUAAAUGUGAGGUGAAUCCCUACCCACCUUCCCAGCCUUCCCCCUUAGAACACACUUUGGGACUUCUUGCAAACUUUAUUGUGUAGGAUGGUGGUUCUCUAUGUGUGCUUCUGGGCACAAGGGGCCUGAGAGAAUUCAUCAAAAAUCAAGUCAUGGAAAGUCAAUUCAUCACUUUUAUUUUGCCAACUGGCGAUUUGGCUUCCCAUCCAUUGAGCGUUGGGAAAAUUAGUUUUGGCAAGUGAGCCUGCCUCCUAGAGGAAUUCUCUGGGUGGACUGGGCUGAUCCAAAUGCAAGUUUAGUAAAUGCUCUGCUCAGGAGUAGGAAGCAGUGUGCGAUAUGUUGAAAGCUGAGCCCUGCAGUUUGUGGCCGAUGUCAGAGCUGCCUCUCCCGAUUUCUGCUUCUGCGUCAGCCACCACUGUGGUCAUCACCAUGAAGAAGUUCUUGUUGGAGAGGAGGGAGGCUGCUGAAGGGGAAGCCGAGCCUCCAGGAAGGGAAGACUGAUGUUAUUGGUGUUUCUCCCCAGGCCCCUGGAGACUCUCUCAUCUCCUCCUCUAACUGUUCUUUUCGCUGCCAAACAAAAGAGAAGGGGCCAGGUGGCACAUGGAGUCAGAAGGCAAAGUGGGAGUUGUUAAAGACAGAUUACUGCACCAAGGGUAGAGUUUGAUUGAGAGGUCAGGAGAGGACUCAGCCAUCAAAGGCAUCCAACUUGAAGACUAGAGAUACCCCCAGGGGCAAGGAAGUAUAUGCUUUGAUGGUGGUAAACCCUGAGUGGCUCCUACAACAGGAUUGAGAAGGGUAAUUUUGCAGGAGCUGUCCUCAGGGCUGGAUGAACUCCCUGGCCCUGCAGAAGAAACCACUGUCUGAUGCCUGUCUGCCUGCUUCCCAGUGGUCGCAGCUACUUGAAGAGGUGCCAUGUGGACUAGUCUUUCACCAGCCACCGUGGACUCUGGCAGAAGGUGCCAUCAUUACUGUUAAGAACUGCAUUUAGAAAUAAGCAGGAAGACUGGAGGGGUUAUUUCGAGCCUCAAAUAGUAUUAAGUUGGAACCUGAAGCUUCUGAAAUGACAGCCUGACUUCUGAGCGGCCGUGCUGAGGAUCUUGCUGCUCUCCGUUGGCGGGGAGCCUCUGUUUCCUGGUCACCGGAACAAGAUUUACUGAGCACAUGCUAUGUGUCUGUCAGGAGUGUGAAGCACUGGGGAGUCAAACAAGAAAGGCUGCUUGUUCAGCCCUUGAGCAACUCACACACCUGUUCCGGAAGCGCACACGGUGCCAUGCGAUCUUACAAGAGAGGGCUCAAGGGACCACGACAGGCUCAGGCCAUUACCCAUGGAACUGGCCAGGGAGAGCCUACCUGUCAAAUUGGCUGGAACGUGGCAAGGUAAACUCCUGAGAGAGACAGCACGAGAAAGGGAGGAGGCCGAGAGAGAGGGAGACACAGAAUCCCAAGC
Molecule: long non-coding RNA, 1620 nt
Organism: Felis catus (domestic cat)
Lineage: Eukaryota; Metazoa; Chordata; Mammalia; Carnivora; Felidae
Exons: 7
Source: RefSeq, a predicted model, not a curated record